UCCGGCUCAAAAACAAACGGCUGCGGCGCCUCGGGCUCCGGCUCGAGCGGGUGAUCUCCCGGAGAUCCCGGUGCUGCCCGCCGCUCCGUUAUCAACACACACACACACACACAGUCACAGUCUCACACACACAAUCUCACACACACACACACACACACACACACACACACUGUGGCCACGACCGAGACGCGACGCGACGCGGCGCCGGGUGGGAAGCCCGAGCUGUCAGCGCUCACCGCCGUUAAAACGUCCUCCGGGCUCCUCUCUCGGCCUCCGCGGGGCUCCGCCCGCGCUCUCAGACACACGCCGGGUCUGUGCUCCGCCGCGGCGGGGGUCCGGGCUCCGUUCGGCCGGUACAGCGACAGAAAGUUCCCCGUUGAGGAGAUAAAGGUGUUGAGCGGCAGGAGCCGUGCCGGCGGAAGUCUCGCGUCUCGCCGGUCUCGCGAGAAUACACAUCAAAAGGCGACGUCAUCUCCCUCGUGAGUGACGUGUGGAGAAGGGCGCGUCUGCAGACCCGGGGACCGCAGCGGCAGGACCCGCAGCUGCAGGACCCGCACUGACAGCGCCACCUGCCUGAAACCGUUCAAACACACAGCUUGCCGCUUUAAAUGACAAGAGAUGAGCUCUUCACAGCUCAUCAUCUCUCUCAUUUCCCUUCACCAGUGCAUGCUGAGGCACAGCAGUCAGGCGGUAUCUGAAACUCUCCUGGACACCAGCGAGCGGUUCUCCCUCAGCGUCUCCCCCGCCUGGCGCCAAAGCCAGCCCGACAGCGUCCACUCACCAUGUGA
This is a long non-coding RNA of Salarias fasciatus (jewelled blenny), 788 nucleotides long. RefSeq lists it as uncharacterized. NCBI's taxonomy places the organism in Eukaryota, Metazoa, Chordata, Actinopteri, Blenniiformes, Blenniidae. The transcript has 3 exons. The record is from RefSeq and is a predicted model, not a curated record.